UACGGAGGGUGCAAGCGUUGCUCGGAAUUAUUGGGCGUAAAGGGUAGGUAGGUGGUCUCAUUUGUCUGGGGUGAAAUCCUUGGGCUUAACUCAAGAAGUGCCCCAGAAACGGUGAGACUAGAGUCCUGGAGAGGGUCGUGGAAUUCCCGGUGUAGCGGUGAAAUGCGUAGAGAUCGGGAGGAACACCAGAGGCGAAGGCGGCGACCUGGACAGGUACUGACACUCAACUACGAAAGCGUGGGGAGCAAACAGG
Molecule: ribosomal RNA, 253 nt
Filed under: uncultured bacterium
Lineage: Bacteria
Description: partial 16S ribosomal RNA
Rfam family: Bacterial small subunit ribosomal RNA
Source: RNAcentral